RNAcentral lists this ribosomal RNA (497 nucleotides) under uncultured bacterium. RNAcentral describes it as "partial 16S ribosomal RNA". It matches the Rfam family "Bacterial small subunit ribosomal RNA", at positions 29 to 523 of the family's 1533-position model. The record is from RNAcentral.
UUGAACGCUGGCGGCAGGCCUAACACAUGCAAGUCGAGCGGCAGCGCGGGGCAACCUGGCGGCGAGCGGCGGACGGGUGAGUAACGCGUAGGAAUCUACCCAGUAGCGGGGGAUAGCCCGGGGAAACUCGGAUUAAUACCGCAUACGCCCUAAGGGGGAAAGCAGGGGAUCGUAAGACCUUGCACUAUUGGAAGAGCCUGCGUUGUAUUAGCUAGUUGGGGGGGUAAAGGCCUACCAAGGCGACGAUCCAUAACUGGUCUGAGAGGAUGAUCAGUCAAGCCGGAGCUAGGACACGGUCCGGACUCCGACGGGAGGCAGCAGUGGGGAAUAUUGGACAAGGGGGGCAACCCUGAUCCAGCCAUGCCGCGUGUGUGAAGAAGGCCUUCGGGUUGUAAGGCACUUUAAGUGGGGAGAAAGGUUCGGCAGCUAAUACCUGCCGGAAGUGAUGUUACCCACAGAAUAAGCACCGGCUAACUCUGUGCCAGCCGCCGCGGUAA